This 241-nucleotide ribosomal RNA is filed under the name Crepidotus sp. RNAcentral's name for it is "partial large subunit ribosomal RNA". Lineage: Eukaryota; Fungi; Basidiomycota; Agaricomycetes; Agaricales; Crepidotaceae. The record is from RNAcentral.
AAACGCUUAAAGUCAGUCACAUUGGCUGGAAAUCAACCUUGCUUUUGCUGGGUGUACUUUCUAGUUGAUGGGUCAACAUCAGUUUUGACCAGUGGAUAAAGUCAAUAGGAAUGUGGCUCCUUCGGGAGUGUUAUAGCCUGUUGUCGCAUACACUGGUUGGGACUGAGGCUCUCAGCACGCCAUUUUGGCCUGGUUUCGACCAUGUUCGUGCUUAGGAUGUUGGCAUAAUGGCUUUAAUCGA